GACGAACGCUGGCGGCGUGCCUAAUACAUGCAAGUCGAACGAGAGCGACCGGUGCUUGCACUGGUCAAUCUAGUGGCGAACGGGUGAGUAACACGUGGGUAACCUGCCCAUCAGAGGGGGAUAACAUUCGGAAACGGAUGCUAAAACCGCAUAGGUCUUCGAACCGCAUGGUUUGAAGAGGAAAAGAGGCGCAAGCUUCUGCUGAUGGAUGGACCCGCGGUGCAUUAGCUAGUUGGUGAGGUAACGGCUCACCAAGGCCGUGACGCAUAGCCGACCUGAGAGGGUGAUCGGCCACAUUGGGACUGAGACACGGCCCAAACUCCUACGGGAGGCAGCAGUAGGGAAUCUUCCGCAAUGGACGCAAGUCUGACGGAGCAACGCCGCGUGAGUGAAGAAGGUUUUCGGAUCGUAAAACUCUGUUGUUAGAGAAGAACAAGUGCUAGAGUAACUGUUAGCGCCUUGACGGUAUCUAACCAGAAAGCCACGGCUAACUACGUG
RNAcentral lists this ribosomal RNA (498 nucleotides) under uncultured bacterium. RNAcentral's name for it is "partial 16S ribosomal RNA". It matches the Rfam family "Bacterial small subunit ribosomal RNA", at positions 28 to 507 of the family's 1533-position model. The record is from RNAcentral.